This 340-nucleotide ribosomal RNA is filed under the name Bacillus sp. (in: firmicutes). Its description in RNAcentral is "bacterial SSU rRNA". It matches the Rfam family "Bacterial small subunit ribosomal RNA", at positions 920 to 1267 of the family's 1533-position model. The record is from RNAcentral. Lineage: Bacteria; Bacillati; Bacillota; Bacilli; Caryophanales; Bacillaceae.
CCCGCACAGCGGUGGAGCAUGUGGUUUAAUUCGAAGCAACGCGAAGAACCUUACCAGGUCUUGACAUCCUCUGACAAUCCUAGAUAUAGGACGUCCCCUUCGGGGGCAGAGUGACAGGUGGUGCAUAAGUCAGCUCGUGUCGUGAGAUGUUGGGUUAAGUCCCGCAACGAGCGCAACCCUUGAUCUUAGUUGCCAGCAUUCAGUUGGGCACUCUAAGGUGACUGCCGGUGACAAACCGGAGGAAGGUGGGGAUGACGUCAAAUCAUCAUGCCCCUUAUGACCUGGGCUACACACGUGCUACAAUGGACAGAACAAAGGGCAGCGAAACCGCGAGGUUAAG